UGGGGAAUAUUGCGCAAUGGGCGAAAGCCUGACGCAGCAACGCCGCGUGGAGGACGAAUGCCUUUUGGUUGUAAACUCCUUUCAGCAGGAACGAAAUUGACGGUACCUGCAGAAGAAGCCCCGGCCAACUACGUGCCAGCAGCCGCGGUAAUACGUAGGGGGCGAGCGUUGUCCGGAUUUAUUGGGCGUAAAGAGCUCGUAGGCGGCUUGAUAAGUCGGCUGUCAAACCCCCAGGCUUAACCUGGGGCAGUCAAUCGAUACUGUCAUGGCUAGAGUCCGGUAGGGGAUCACGGAAUUCCUGGUGUAGCGGUGAAAUGCGCAGAUAUCAGGAGGAACACCAGUGGCGAAGGCGGUGAUCUGGGCCGGUACUGACGCUGAGGAGCGAAAGCGUGGGGAGCAAACAGG
This 405-nucleotide ribosomal RNA is filed under the name uncultured Acidimicrobiia bacterium. RNAcentral's name for it is "bacterial SSU rRNA". It matches the Rfam family "Bacterial small subunit ribosomal RNA", at positions 355 to 776 of the family's 1533-position model. Lineage: Bacteria; Bacillati; Actinomycetota; Acidimicrobiia. The record is from RNAcentral.